AAACGAUCACAUGGAGGAAGUGGAAGAGCCAGAAGAAGAGCUAGGAGCCAUGAAAGAAAUGAUGUACAAAAUCGCAGCUAUGCAGCCUGUAGAUAUAGAUCCAGCAACAAUUCGCAAGCCCAAAAGACGAAACGUAAGGAUAAGUGAUGACCCCCAGAGCGUGGCAGCACGUCAUAGGAGAGAAAGAAUAAGCGAAAAGAUGAGAAUUUUGCAAAGACUUGUUCCUGGAGGAACAAAAAUGGACACUGCCUCCAUGCUAGAUGAAGCUAUUCUUUAUGUCAAGUUCUUGAAAAGACAGAUUCGCUUACUCCAAUCUAAUCAAAACCCACCAUGCAUUGGAGGCUGGAAACCUCUUGUUUCCACCACAUCGUCCACCCUUGAGUCUCCGGCACCAGCAGGCCCUGGAAACGCUUUUCUCAGUAAUGGUGGUGACCCUGCAGCUAUGUGCUUCAAUCAUGAGGUAAUAAGUGAUUAGAGGGUAAUUAUUAAGUGUUAAUUAUUGUUGAAAUUGUGUAAAUGAUUUAAG
Molecule: unclassified non-coding RNA, 526 nt
Filed under: Hevea brasiliensis (rubber tree)
Lineage: Eukaryota; Viridiplantae; Streptophyta; Magnoliopsida; Malpighiales; Euphorbiaceae
Source: RNAcentral